Molecule: ribosomal RNA, 337 nt
Filed under: Pediococcus acidilactici MA18/5M
Lineage: Bacteria; Bacillati; Bacillota; Bacilli; Lactobacillales; Lactobacillaceae
Description: bacterial SSU rRNA
Rfam family: Bacterial small subunit ribosomal RNA
Source: RNAcentral
UUUAAUAUGAGAGUUUGAUCUUGGCUCAGGAUGAACGCUGGCGGCGUGCCUAAUACAUGCAAGUCGAACGAACUUCCGUUAAUUGAUCAGGACGUGCUUGCACUGAAAUGAGAUUUUAACACGAAGUGAGUGGCGGACGGGUGAGUAACACGUGGGUAACCUGCCCCAGAAGCAGGGGAUAACACCUGGGAAACAGAUGCUAAUACCGUAUAACAGAGAAAACCCCCUGGGUUUCUUUUAAAAGAUGGCUCUGCUAUCACUUCUGGAUGGACCCGCGGCGCAUUAGCUAGUUGGUGAGGUACCGGCUCACCAAGGCGAUGAUGCGUAGCCGACCUGA